AUGGGAAGUAAUUGUUUUCUAUGAAUAAAUUUAGAUAGCCUUUCAUUCUAUUAUUUUGGAGCUAAAGGCUGCAACGUGAAUAGUGAGAGUUGACAUAUUUUUCUUAUCUUAUUCUUUCUGACAUUUCUUGCUAAAAUCAUAAUCUCCAUUUGAUUGAAAUUAAUUAACAUGAAGGUUAUAGUCAGUGGCAUCUAAAAUCUAGGUUAAAAGAGAAAAUUCAAAUAUUAGGAAUUAUUUUGCAAUACUUAUUUAGAUUUUUGAUUGAGAUUUUUCAGCUAGCAUCUAGGGAUUUUUUGUUUUUGUUCUUAGACACAGAAAGACUCUAAAGUUAAAAUCAACAUAAUUGAAUACUUAGCUCUCUCAAAACAGAGAAACAAACAAAAUCUCAUAGCCAACUGUGAUAUUGUAAUUUAUAAAAAAUAUAUAUAUUUGAUCAUUCAGAUGGCCAAAAUGUAUUUCUCAUAUAUAUUUGGUCUUCAUUCACAGUUCCUUGCUCACAGUUCCCAAAACCCUGGAAUUCCCUGAGCUGUAAGAGUAAUGGGAGCAUCUUUUGUUAUAAUAUUUGGUCUCUUAUUCUCAGGCCCUGAAAUUGCUUCAGAGCCAUAAAGCUGAAAAAGGUAUCUUGUUAUUCACACAAACUCCUAUUCUACCACAAUUCAUGUUAAUAAAGGUGACUUCUGGAGCACCUAAGACUGGAACUGUUGCCAAGGGAACCAAUUAUGACCAGAGGGGUGGGACUUUUAGUUCCCCCCUGAUUUCUGCAGAGGUGGAAGGGCUAAAGGCUGAAUCAAUCACGAACAGCCAAUGAGUUAUCAAUCAUGACCAUGUAACGAAGCCUCCAUAAAAACCUAAAAGAAGGGAAUUCAGAGAGUUUCCAAGUUUGGGAGCCAGAAUGAGUCCACAUGCCAUCAAUGCCAGGAGCCAAGCUCCAAGACAGAAGCUCCUUUGCUCAGGACUCACCCAUGUAUCUCUUCAUCUGGUUGUUGAUUCAUAUACUUUAAUAUCUUUUGUAAUAAAUUAGUAAUAAGACCCUAAGCCACAUCAAAUCACAUUAUUUUGGUGCCCAACAUUCAGCCUGAGUCUUCUCAUCUGGACUGCGACCCUCAGUGCAAACUUGGAAUAUAGUGUGACUGCUAACAUGCUUUCUCGUUGCCGUGAAUCUGUGGAAGACCUCAAACUUCUCUUCAAAUGACAAUGAAGGACUAGAGCACGUCACUUGGCACAUGGAAGCUCUUAAUAAUGUCUCCCUGCCUGGUGCCUAGACUCCUUCCCUGCAUUUGCUCGAAGUCCUCAGAAGCUGAGCCAUGCAGACUCAUCACCAUGUUCCAACACCUUGCCACCUAGUUUCCUGUUGGGUUUGGCCAAUGGAAGAUAUCAACAUGAAACCGGAAUGUUUGAGAAGAGAGAGACUGGCAUUCUUUCCUGCUUCCUUUUUGCUAUACCACUUGCUCUCUGGCAGUAGCUGUAUCUCUAUUUCACUGGGCCACUCCUUCACAGUUGCAGUCCAGAAACACUAAUUUCUCUCCAAAGAGUUUCUUACUAAGCUGUUUCUGUAUGCUUCAUCAUCUCAUUUAUUCCCAUAACUAUGCCCACAUCUUUUUAAAUAGUCUCUUCAUUUGGACUGAAUUGUUUCCUGCUGGGUCCCUAACAAUUACUACAUUUUAAAACCUAUUGGGGUGUCUGGGUGGCUCAGUCACUUGAGCAUCUGACUCCUGAUUUCAGCUCAAGUCAUGAUCCCAGUGUCCUAGAGAUCCCAUGUCCCAGGGAUCCCAUGUCUCAGGGAUCUGACCCCAUGUUGAGCUCCAUGUUGAGCAUGGAGUUUGCUUAAGAUUCUCUCUCUCCCUCUGCCCCUCUCCCCCACUCAUGUGCUCUCUCUCAUGAAAUAAAUAAAAUAA
Molecule: long non-coding RNA, 1895 nt
Organism: Panthera uncia (snow leopard)
Lineage: Eukaryota; Metazoa; Chordata; Mammalia; Carnivora; Felidae
Exons: 4
Source: RefSeq, a predicted model, not a curated record